Molecule: ribosomal RNA, 253 nt
Filed under: uncultured bacterium
Lineage: Bacteria
Description: partial 16S ribosomal RNA
Rfam family: Bacterial small subunit ribosomal RNA
Source: RNAcentral
UACGGAGGGGGCAAGCGUUGUUCGGAAUCACUGGGCGUAAAGCGCACGCAGGCGGCUUGCUAAGUCCGGGGGGAAAUCCCGGAGCUCAACUUCGGAAUUGCCUUUGAUACUGUCUGUCUUGAGUCCGGGAGAGGUGAGUGGAAUUCCUAGUGUAGAGGUGAAAUUCGUAGAUAUUCGCAAGAACACCAGUGGCGAAGGCGGCUCACUGGCCCGAUACUGACGCUGAGGUGCGAAAGCGUGGGGAGCAAACAGG